RNAcentral lists this ribosomal RNA (698 nucleotides) under Cedecea neteri. RNAcentral's name for it is "bacterial SSU rRNA". It matches the Rfam family "Bacterial small subunit ribosomal RNA", at positions 785 to 1483 of the family's 1533-position model. Lineage: Bacteria; Pseudomonadati; Pseudomonadota; Gammaproteobacteria; Enterobacterales; Enterobacteriaceae. The record is from RNAcentral.
CCCUGGUAGUCCACGCCGUAAACGAUGUCGACUUGGAGGUUGUGCCCUUGAGGCGUGGCUUCCGGAGCUAACGCGUUAAGUCGACCGCCUGGGGAGUACGGCCGCAAGGUUAAAACUCAAAUGAAUUGACGGGGGCCCGCACAAGCGGUGGAGCAUGUGGUUUAAUUCGAUGCAACGCGAAGAACCUUACCUACUCUUGACAUCCAGAGAACUUUCCAGAGAUGGAUUGGUGCCUUCGGGAACUCUGAGACAGGUGCUGCAUGGCUGUCGUCAGCUCGUGUUGUGAAAUGUUGGGUUAAGUCCCGCAACGAGCGCAACCCUUAUCCUUUGUUGCCAGCGGUUCGGCCGGGAACUCAAAGGAGACUGCCAGUGAUAAACUGGAGGAAGGUGGGGAUGACGUCAAGUCAUCAUGGCCCUUACGAGUAGGGCUACACACGUGCUACAAUGGCGCAUACAAAGAGAAGCGACCUCGCGAGAGCAAGCGGACCUCAUAAAGUGCGUCGUAGUCCGGAUUGGAGUCUGCAACUCGACUCCAUGAAGUCGGAAUCGCUAGUAAUCGUAGAUCAGAAUGCUACGGUGAAUACGUUCCCGGGCCUUGUACACACCGCCCGUCACACCAUGGGAGUGGGUUGCAAAAGAAGUAGGUAGCUUAACCUUCGGGAGGGCGCUUACCACUUUGUGAUUCAUGACUGGGGUGA